Molecule: long non-coding RNA, 1089 nt
Filed under: Fragaria vesca (wild strawberry)
Lineage: Eukaryota; Viridiplantae; Streptophyta; Magnoliopsida; Rosales; Rosaceae
Description: long non-coding RNA (FVES_LNC004951)
Source: RNAcentral
AAGCUGCUCUUUCAGCCUCUUCUCCAUUUUAGGAGUAAUCUUGGUAGUCCAAGAUUUCGACUCAACACUCCUUUCUGACAUCAUCUUCAUUUCUUUCAUUCUAGUUUGAUCUAACAUAGCGAAAGGGGGCAGUGAACGCUCAGCAACAAUCCAGUUAUUAAAGGAUUCAGCAAUACCAUUUGCCAUAAUCCCAUACCGACAACCUUUAAAAAAAGCACGGCACCAAUGUUCCAAUGGAAUCUCCCUUAUGAAUUCAUCAAUAGUAGCAGCACCACCCCCAUCUCUCAAAUUUUUUAAAUGAAAGUAGAAAGACUUCUCAGUCGAUGCGUAAGCCACUUUAAAGAAUUUUUGUAACACAUCAGCAACAACAAUUUCCCCUCCUUUGUUCUUAUACUUUCGACUAAGGUUGUAUCGCAAAUGAUGAUAACAGUAAAGAUGAGGAUUACCAGGAAAAAUGAGAUCAAAUGCCUUCAACAAACCAACAGUACCACGAUCACUAAUGAAUGUGAUAAUCCUUCCUUGCGGUUCCAACAAAGCCUUCAAGUUCUUGAAGAAAAACAACCAGUUUUCUUCAGUCUCUGAAUCACAAAAACACAAGGCUAAAGGGAAGAAACCUGCACAAUAAAAAAACAAACAAACAAUUACUAGGGGCAGUAAAAUAAACAGCAGCGUGCCGCUGCACCGCUAACGGGAGCGUUCCGCUCCAAAAUGAAAGUCUAACAAACCAUAAAACUAUAAGAAAACAUAUUCGAAUCAGAAGAAUAAAGAUUUCAAAAAUUACUGGGGGGUAGUAAAAUAUAUAGAGGCAAAAAAAUACAAUUGACUACCCCCAGUAAGCUUCUACUGGGGGUAGUAAACCUGCAAAACAGUAUCUCCAAAGGCUAUUAUACACAUUAAAACAGUGAAAAAUUAACUUAGAUGCGAAAUAAUAAAGUUUACUAGGGGUAGUAUCGUUUAAAAAUAGAGAUUACUACCCUAGUAAUCUUCUACUGGGUGUAGUAAACUUGCAAAACAAUAUCCCCAAAGGCCGUAAUACACAUUAAAACGUGCUUCUGCACAGCUAAUGGGAGCGUUCCUUUCCAAAACUAA